UGGUGGUUAGUUUAAAGUAAACCCCCUAAUUUCGACUUAGAAAAUCCCACCACGGGGCCACCAA
Molecule: transfer RNA, 64 nt
Filed under: Teratoscincus roborowskii
Lineage: Eukaryota; Metazoa; Chordata; Lepidosauria; Squamata; Sphaerodactylidae
Description: tRNA-Arg
Source: RNAcentral